UACGUAGGGACCAAGCGUUGUCCGGAAUUAUUGGGCGUAAAGAGCUUGUAGGCGGUUUGUCGCGUCUGCUGUGAAAUUUCGGGGCUCAACCCCGAACUUGCAGUGGGUACGGGCAGACUAGAGUGUGGUAGGGGAGACUGGAAUUCCUGGUGUAGCGGUGAAAUGCGCAGAUAUCAGGAGGAACACCGAUGGCGAAGGCAGGUCUCUGGGCCAUAACUGACGCUGAGAAGCGAAAGCAUGGGGAGCGAACAGG
This 253-nucleotide ribosomal RNA is filed under the name uncultured bacterium. Its description in RNAcentral is "partial 16S ribosomal RNA". It matches the Rfam family "Bacterial small subunit ribosomal RNA", at positions 524 to 776 of the family's 1533-position model. The record is from RNAcentral.